Long non-coding RNA from Triticum dicoccoides, 815 nucleotides. RefSeq lists it as uncharacterized. The record is from RefSeq and is a predicted model, not a curated record. The transcript is spliced from 2 exons. NCBI's taxonomy places the organism in Eukaryota, Viridiplantae, Streptophyta, Magnoliopsida, Poales, Poaceae.
AAACUGGACCAUGGAAACUGCCCACACCUCCACCCGCGCGAGCAGGGGAACGAGGAGACGGCGGCGCCCUGGCAAGUCCCCUCGCCGGCCGUCCUCCUGCUCCGGUAUUCGGCAGAUCCGUCCUCUCCUCCUCCUCCCCUGCGGUUGCCCCCCUAGCCGGCCCUCCUCCUCCUCCGCUGCUGGCUUCUCCUCUGCCCGUGGCCGCCAUGGCCUUGCCCGAGCCGUCCGCCGCCGCUCCAGCUCCUACUCCCGUGCUCCAGCUUCCCUCCCGUGCUCCCCUGUCCCUCCUCCUCUGCCUUGUGCCUGCGGUGUCCCAACCUCCUCUGGUCCAUAGCCACCAGAUCCAGCCGCCCCCUCUUCUUCCCCUGCCUCUCUACUCUUUCUUCUUCAUAUACUCAAGUCUCACUCCCUGCCUCUCCUCUUCUUCCCAGCAACCAAUUGCUUAGCAUUAUAAUCCUUGGUGGAGAAGUUCCAUGCAAAUGCUGUCAGUGCCUACUUGGGUUUCUACUUCCGCAAAUACCAUCAGAUAAUCCUUGGUGGAGAAGCUCCAUGGAAAAACUAUUUGCUAUACUGUCAGUGCCUACUUGGGUUUCUACUUUCGCAAAUACCAUCAGAUAAUCCUUGGUGGAGAAGCUCCAUGGAAAAACUAUUUGCUAUACUGUCAGUGCCUACUUGGGUUUCUAGCAUAAAAAAGUUGACGCUAGAUCACAUAUGAGAAAUCAGUGGAUUUCUUGAAUGGUCACUUAUUUUCAAUCUGCAAUCUUCUGUGUUGGUCUGAGAAACUGUACCUAAUCUGAUAUGGAUGUUCUGUGUAA